UGUCGUUGGCCUAGGUCACGACUCGAGUUAGAGUUCGAUCGUCGCUAGGACGAACGCUGGCGGCGUGCUUAACACAUGCAAGUCGAACGGAAGUUACGAGGAAGCUUGCGAAUUGAACUUAGUGGCGGACGGGUGAGUAACGCGUGGAUAACCUGCCUUAAUGACCGGGAUAACACCGGGAAACUGGUGCUAAUACGGGAUACGCUCAAGUGAACACAUGUUUGUUUGAGGAAAAGGAGCAAUCCGCAUUAAGAUGGGUCCGCGUCCCAUUAGCUAGUUGGAGGUGUAAGAGACCCCCCAAGGCGACGAUGGGUAGCCGGCCUGAGAGGGUGAACGGCCACACUGGAACUGAGACACGGUCCAGACUCCUACGGGAGGCAGCAGUGGGGAAUCUUCCGCAAUGGGCGAAAGCCUGACGGAGCAACGCCGCGUGAAUGAUGAAGGCCUUCGGGUUGUAAAAUUCUGUCUUCAGGGAAGAAACAAAUGACGGUACCUGAGGAGGAAGCCCCGGCUAACUACGUGCCAGCAGCAGC
RNAcentral lists this ribosomal RNA (533 nucleotides) under uncultured bacterium. RNAcentral's name for it is "bacterial SSU rRNA". It matches the Rfam family "Bacterial small subunit ribosomal RNA", at positions 1 to 518 of the family's 1533-position model. The record is from RNAcentral.